ACUCCUACGGGAGGCAGCAGUGGGGAAUAUUGGACAAUGGGCGAAAGCCUGAUCCAGCCAUGCCGCGUGUGUGAAGAAGGUCUUCGGAUUGUAAAGCACUUUAAGUUGGGAGGAAGGGCAUUAACCUAAUACGUUAGUGUUUUGACGUUACCGACAGAAUAAGCACCGGCUAACUCUGUGCCAGCAGCCGCGGUAAUACAGAGGGUGCAAGCGUUAAUCGGAAUUACUGGGCGUAAAGCGCGCGUAGGUGGUUUGUUAAGUUGGAUGUG
This 269-nucleotide ribosomal RNA is filed under the name uncultured bacterium. RNAcentral describes it as "partial 16S ribosomal RNA". It matches the Rfam family "Bacterial small subunit ribosomal RNA", at positions 335 to 596 of the family's 1533-position model. The record is from RNAcentral.